CCUACGGGAGGCAGCAGUGGGGAAUAUUGCGCAAUGGGCGAAAGCCUGACGCAGCGACGCCGCGUGAGGGAAGACGGUCCUAUGGAUUGUAAACCUCUUUAGGCGGGGAGCAAUGCCGGGCACGCGUGCCCGGAGGGAGAGUACCCGCAGAUUAAGCAUCGGCUAACUCCGUGCCAGCAGCCGCGAUAAUACGGGGGAUGCAAGCGUUAUCCGGAUUUAUUGGGUUUAAGGGGUGCGUAGGCGGAUUUUUAAGUCAGCGGUAAAAUGUCCGGGCUCAACCCGGGCCGGCCGUUGAUACUGGGGAUCUUGAGUGGGCGAGAAGUAUGCGGAAUGCGUGGUGUAGCGGUGAAAUGCAUAGAUAUCACGCAGAACUCCGAUUGCGAAGGCAGCAUACCGGCGCCCGACUGACGCUGAGGCACGAAAGCGUGGGGAUCGAACAGGAUUAGAUACCCGUGUAGUC
Molecule: ribosomal RNA, 460 nt
Filed under: uncultured bacterium
Lineage: Bacteria
Description: partial 16S ribosomal RNA
Rfam family: Bacterial small subunit ribosomal RNA
Source: RNAcentral